UUGACCUCGGAUCAGGCAGGGAUACCCGCUGAACUUAAGCAUAUCAAUAAGCGGAGGAAAAGAAACCAACAGGGAUUGCCUCAGUAACGGCGAGCGAAGCGGCAACAGCUCAAAUUUGAAAUCUGGCUCUUUUAGGGUCCGAGUUGUAAUUUGUAGAGGAUGCUUCGGCGUCGGCUCCGGUCUAAGUUCCUUGGAACAGGACGUCAUAGAGGGUGAGAAUCCCGUAUGUGAUCGGUUGCCCUUGCCAUGUGAAGCUCCUUCGACGAGUCGAGUUGUUUGGAAUGCAGCUCUAAAUGGGAGGUAAAUUUCUUCUAAAGCUA
Molecule: ribosomal RNA, 320 nt
Filed under: uncultured Cenococcum
Lineage: Eukaryota; Fungi; Ascomycota; Dothideomycetes; Gloniales; Gloniaceae
Description: eukaryotic LSU rRNA
Rfam family: Eukaryotic large subunit ribosomal RNA
Source: RNAcentral